ACCUCGAAGGUAAUUAAGCCAAUGUUCCCAUUGCGGGGGCCUCUCCUGACGCCAUUUUUCUCCUUCCGGAGCGCUCCGCAGAGCGAAGGGAGGGCGCGCCAAGCCAGAGCCCAAGGCGCCCUCCAAGAACGCGCGCUACUUGGAAUCCCCCUCCCGGAAACCCGCAAAGCUGGAAAGCACCUCAUCUCAGCCCCUCAUUGCACCAAUAAGGAAGUAGGUCCCAGCGAAAAGAGGCGGCAGGGGCGGAACACACGAGCAACAGACCUACGGUAAUUUAUUGUUAUAAAUUUGUACAACCGGAUCAGUCCUUGAAAGAUGGGAAAGAGCACUGAUAAUCGCAGAAACAAAAGUGAUCCUUCACCAAAGGUGGCUUGAGAAGCACAGAGGCCUCAUCAGUAGCCUAAGAACAAUGAAGGGAAGAGACAUAUGUGGCCCAAUAACAGGAAAUACACUCUGGGACUUCCCUGGUGGUGCAAUAGUUAAGAAUCCGCCUGCCAAUGCAGGGGACACGAGUUCGAUCCCUGGUCCGGGAAGAUCCCACGUGUCGCGGAGCAACUAAGCCCGUGCGCCACAACUACUGAAGCCUGCACGCCUGGAACCUGUGCUCCGCAACAAGAGAAGCCACCGCAAUGAGAAGCCCGUGCACCACAACGAAGAGUAGCCCCUGCUCACUGCAACCAGGGAAAGCCCUCGUGCAGCAACGAAGAC
This is a long non-coding RNA of Eubalaena glacialis (North Atlantic right whale), 708 nucleotides long. RefSeq lists it as uncharacterized. The transcript has 3 exons. The record is from RefSeq and is a predicted model, not a curated record. NCBI's taxonomy places the organism in Eukaryota, Metazoa, Chordata, Mammalia, Artiodactyla, Balaenidae.